Molecule: ribosomal RNA, 567 nt
Filed under: Triticum aestivum (bread wheat)
Lineage: Eukaryota; Viridiplantae; Streptophyta; Magnoliopsida; Poales; Poaceae
Description: partial small subunit ribosomal RNA
Source: RNAcentral
AUGAACAUAGCUCAGCCGUGGCUGGUUUGGGGAGGCAGACGCCGUGGUUGGGGCUGGGGCUGGGCCCGGCGGUGUGGUGCAGGUAGCAGGGGAAGCCAGCCCACUCAGCUGCGGACGACCAGCGCCGCCUCGCUCUGCUCGCUGUUGACAGCGCGUGUGUUGGAGGAAUCACGACUUGCUCCCAGCGUCCUCUCCACCAUGCCCGAGCUCCUCUGCUCCUCCCGUUCGCGCGACCAGGCUACUGCCGUCGCCGUUGCACGCGCCACUGCCACCAGCUGUUGCACACGCCGCGCGACGGGAGCUCCAGCCUGGGGAAUCGGGUCCUCAGCCCGUCGGCCAGGCAGUCACGAUCGCUGUUGUUCUUGCCCUCGCCGCCUUCGGUGGCCGAGCAGGACGUACCGGGCUUCCUCCGACGCGAGUUUCCUCAGAUGGCGUCCCCUCCAGGUCGAACAAGGAGGUCGGGCUGCGCAUCGCUGGCAGGCGCCUUGCGUGCGCCGGAACGCCGCAUCGGACAAGCCCGGUCAAGUGCCGGUGCGGGGAUGCGCGCCACACCGUGAGCAGUCGUGA